GAGGGCUGGGCGGGCCGGGC
RNAcentral lists this microRNA (20 nucleotides) under Monodelphis domestica (gray short-tailed opossum). RNAcentral describes it as "mdo-miR-12321-5p". The record is from miRBase by way of RNAcentral. Lineage: Eukaryota; Metazoa; Chordata; Mammalia; Didelphimorphia; Didelphidae.